Molecule: long non-coding RNA, 1136 nt
Organism: Aegilops tauschii subsp. strangulata
Lineage: Eukaryota; Viridiplantae; Streptophyta; Magnoliopsida; Poales; Poaceae
Source: RefSeq, a predicted model, not a curated record
AUGCACGGGCGACGGCCACCCUUCCUGUUAUUGCCUCCAUGGCUGACUGCUCAUCCCCAGUAACCUCCCCCCCCUCACGUGCGCCACACUCUGGGAUUAAGGUCUGCUCCUUGGCUAGCAUUUGCGCUGACCGAUUCUCUGAUUUCUCUCCACCGAAGAAUCAAAGAAACAAGCAAGCUGAUGUCUAACAUAUUUGUUUCGUAAUAGUUGGAACUGGAAGAGGAAGCUCCAGUACAAUUCAGAUCUCUGCUCAAACUCUCAAUAUCUCAUGCAUACAUAACUGCUUAUUGUGUGAAUAUUAGACGUUACUUGUGCAUCAUCUUCACCCUUUCCUAAUUCAAUAUCUGUAAAAGUAGGCAAAGCUUCCUGUUAUUAUGUGCUAUAAUAUUUUUGAAUUGCUGUCUAGAAAAUACUUGGUCAGUUCUUCCGUAAGAAAGCUGAAGUUGGAUAUUAGGUGCUUUAACAAAGCUACUCCCUCCGUUCACUUUUAUAAGUCAUUUCAGACAACUCAAAAUAAACUACUUUGCACAUUGUCUGAAAUGUCUUCAAGGCCUUAUAAAAGUGAACAGAGUGAGUGAUUCUUUUAAGCAAUUACAUUACCAUUGUUAGAUAUAUUAUUCAGAGCUCACUAAAGUAGAAAGGUUCUGAUGCUUUGACGGUACAGUUUCCUGAGCAUGCUUCAAUAUCAUUUGUUUCUGCAUAUCGUUAAGGCUUUUCAUGAUUUUUUUUUCUGUUUUUAAAGAUUGUCAAAGUACAUGCUGCAAGAUACUGUUGAGUUAAUUAAUUUCCUCGAGUCAAACAAAAAUAUGGAAACAGUCAAGGAGAUGUCGAAUGAUGAAUAUAUUCAGAUACUAAGAGAGGUUCUAAAAUGUGUUUUGGCAGAGUGCUAGCACGCUACAUUGGAGAGAAAGCGUUGAGAGAAUGCUUUGUUGGGAUGAUAGACAUGAAUAAUCAAUCCUGAAUCCUCAUUCCAAGGUUGCGAGCCGAAUGCGUCAUCGACGAGGAGGUGAGUUUGGAUUUGGACGGUGAAGAUGAGAAGAUAGUUGGGGAGGAAGAAGGUAUAAAAUCAACAAUAUCGUCUGGUGUGCGUGAGGAUCCUAAUGGUACAUGUUUGACGUGAUCGUUGCUAACCUAAU